CAACCUCAACUCAUAUGGGACUACCCCCUGAAUUUAAGCAUAUUAAUUAGGGGAGGAAAAGAAACUAACAAGGAUUUUCUUAGUAGCGGCGAGCGAAAAGAAAUCAGUUCAGCACUAAGUCACUUUGUCUAUAUGGCAAAUGUGAGAUGCAGUGUACGGAACAUCAACAUUCUAGUAUGAGAAGUUAACGAUUUAAGUCCUUCUUAAAUGAGGCCAUUUACCCAUAGAGGGUGCCAGGCCCGUAUAACGUUAAUGAUUACUAGAUGGUGUUUCCAAAGAGUCGUGUUGCUUGAUAGUGCAGCACUAAGUGGGUGGUAAACUCCAUCUAAAACUAAAUAUAACCAUGAGACCGAUAGUAAACAAGUACCGUGAGGGAAAGUUGAAAAGAACUCUGAAUAGAGAGUUAAAUAGUACGUGAAACUGCUUAGAGGUUAAGCCCGAUGAACCUGAAUAUCCGUUAUGGAAAAUUCAUCAUUAGAAUUGUAAUA
Molecule: non-coding RNA, 488 nt
Filed under: Drosophila virilis
Lineage: Eukaryota; Metazoa; Arthropoda; Insecta; Diptera; Drosophilidae
Description: Eukaryotic large subunit ribosomal RNA
Rfam family: Eukaryotic large subunit ribosomal RNA
Source: Rfam by way of RNAcentral